Nylanderia fulva is the source of this 1450-nucleotide long non-coding RNA. RefSeq lists it as uncharacterized. The record is from RefSeq and is a predicted model, not a curated record. NCBI's taxonomy places the organism in Eukaryota, Metazoa, Arthropoda, Insecta, Hymenoptera, Formicidae.
UUAACUUAUAUAUUUAUUUACUUAUAUAUAGUACAUUAUUAUGCGAGAUAAUAGAAUUGUUAUAAAGUGCCAUUUAUUAAAAAAUAGAAAUAAUAUUUCCACGGUAUGUAUUAUGUAAAUUUGGUCGCGCAAUUUUAGGUAGUCGUCCAUUUUUGCGCGUUUUUCUUCUGUCAUAAUAUAAAUAUGCAUUUUAUAAUCAGAAGUGUAGUUCAAAAUAUCAUGCAAAUUAACCGCAUUUUCAUGAUUGAAUAUUGUGUGCUACAAGGAUGAACAAAAGAGGAGAAGGAAGCUUGGGCACCAACAGAGCAGCGUGCUCAACAUGUGUUGAUCUAUUUCUGCUGUACAUCGUACCGGAGUCCCAAUCUACAAAGUCCUCAUCGAACUGGCGCACCAGAGACAAUUUGUAUAUAUUCGACGUUUCAAUUAAAACAUCAUCUCGCGGUCGUUUAUGGUCGUGUUAAGAAAAAGUGGCACCUUUCGGAACCAGACGAUCCGGACGGUUUUCCGUCCGUCACUAGACUUGGACAGCUGCGUCGUGGACCCCCGUAAACGACUAACGGGGCCCCAUCAUAGCGCAACGUGGAUGAAACUACGAGGAUGUGUGCUAUCGAGAGAAAGAGAGAGAGAGAGAGAGCGCGCGGACAAAAACUAUGGAUCGCGCACAAUGGUCACAUUGUGACGGGUGUAUCCACAAAAGGCGUCGAUCGAAGCGAGAACAGCCAGCGUCGGCAUCGUGCCAAAAAUCGGCUCGGAAAGCUGGCGAAACGCGCGUGCUCCAUCAUUCCACAUCGGGGAGAAUGUAGCAAGGGGACACCCGGUAGCCGCCGAUGACAUAUACAUCGGCUCUCCUUAACAGUAACAUUUAUAUAACAGAUACGUUUUUUUUUAUAUCAAUUAAGGAGACGUAAGAAAAAACCCAGCCGGUUUUCGUUUUUUAAUUGUGCGUUGCGUAAUCGAGAUUAAUAAGAUCGUCCGUUUCUCAUAUCACACAACAGCGAUAAAAUUAUAUAUAGCAAGUCAAGGUAACGGGAAAGAAAAAUUGAUUAAUGGUUAAAUAAUAAGGAAUGACAAAAAACGCGAAAUUAAUUGCGAUCUCGGGCUCUUUCUGAAAAUUAUAUUAAAGAUCAACGGCAAGGAUAUAUUGGCGUUAUCGUGAACCUGAAUUAAUUUCUAUUUAAUCAUAUGCCGGUAGAAUGCGCUCUUUUCGUGGAACUAGCUCGACGCACAUAUCCAGAGAGACGUAGGGAAAAGUAAUUUGCGGAAAUAAGCAUGAAACAUGCUGGCGGCCUAAUCAGGAAAGUCUACUAUGUUUAUAGAAGGAAAUGUCACGCUUACGUUCUCGCAAUUACAUUUCACGGAAUAUAUUUCCGAGAGCUCACACAUAAUUCGAAACUAUGAUAACAGCGGAAUGAAACUGACUUACAAUUUAGCUUUUGUCUUGCGAAUCUUG